Molecule: ribosomal RNA, 1554 nt
Filed under: Salmonella enterica subsp. enterica serovar Typhimurium
Lineage: Bacteria; Pseudomonadati; Pseudomonadota; Gammaproteobacteria; Enterobacterales; Enterobacteriaceae
Description: bacterial SSU rRNA
Rfam family: Bacterial small subunit ribosomal RNA
Source: RNAcentral
AAAUUGAAGAGUUUGAUCAUGGCUCAGAUUGAACGCUGGCGGCAGGCCUAACACAUGCAAGUCGAACGGUAACAGGAAGCAGCUUGCUGCUUCGCUGACGAGUGGCGGACGGGUGAGUAAUGUCUGGGAAACUGCCUGAUGGAGGGGGAUAACUACUGGAAACGGUGGCUAAUACCGCAUAACGUCGCAAGACCAAAGAGGGGGACCUUCGGGCCUCUUGCCAUCAGAUGUGCCCAGAUGGGAUUAGCUAGUUGGUGAGGUAACGGCUCACCAAGGCGACGAUCCCUAGCUGGUCUGAGAGGAUGACCAGCCACACUGGAACUGAGACACGGUCCAGACUCCUACGGGAGGCAGCAGUGGGGAAUAUUGCACAAUGGGCGCAAGCCUGAUGCAGCCAUGCCGCGUGUAUGAAGAAGGCCUUCGGGUUGUAAAGUACUUUCAGCGGGGAGGAAGGUGUUGUGGUUAAUAACCGCAGCAAUUGACGUUACCCGCAGAAGAAGCACCGGCUAACUCCGUGCCAGCAGCCGCGGUAAUACGGAGGGUGCAAGCGUUAAUCGGAAUUACUGGGCGUAAAGCGCACGCAGGCGGUCUGUCAAGUCGGAUGUGAAAUCCCCGGGCUCAACCUGGGAACUGCAUUCGAAACUGGCAGGCUUGAGUCUUGUAGAGGGGGGUAGAAUUCCAGGUGUAGCGGUGAAAUGCGUAGAGAUCUGGAGGAAUACCGGUGGCGAAGGCGGCCCCCUGGACAAAGACUGACGCUCAGGUGCGAAAGCGUGGGGAGCAAACAGGAUUAGAUACCCUGGUAGUCCACGCCGUAAACGAUGUCUACUUGGAGGUUGUGCCCUUGAGGCGUGGCUUCCGGAGCUAACGCGUUAAGUAGACCGCCUGGGGAGUACGGCCGCAAGGUUAAAACUCAAAUGAAUUGACGGGGGCCCGCACAAGCGGUGGAGCAUGUGGUUUAAUUCGAUGCAACGCGAAGAACCUUACCUGGUCUUGACAUCCACAGAACUUUCCAGAGAUGGAUUGGUGCCUUCGGGAACUGUGAGACAGGUGCUGCAUGGCUGUCGUCAGCUCGUGUUGUGAAAUGUUGGGUUAAGUCCCGCAACGAGCGCAACCCUUAUCCUUUGUUGCCAGCGGUUAGGCCGGGAACUCAAAGGAAACUGCCAGUGAUAAACUGGAGGAAGGUGGGGAUGACGUCAAGUCAUCAUGGCCCUUACGACCAGGGCUACACACGUGCUACAAUGGCGCAUACAAAGAGAAGCGACCUCGCGAGAGCAAGCGGACCUCAUAAAGUGCGUCGUAGUCCGGAUUGGAGUCUGCAACUCGACUCCAUGAAGUCGGAAUCGCUAGUAAUCGUGGAUCAGAAUGCCACGGUGAAUACGUUCCCGGGCCUUGUACACACCGCCCGUCACACCAUGGGAGUGGGUUGCAAAAGAAGUAGGUAGCUUAACCUUCGGGAGGGCGCUUACCACUUUGUGAUUCAUGACUGGGGUGAAGUCGUAACAAGGUAACCGUAGGGGAACCUGCGGUUGGAUCACCUCCUUACCUUAAAGAAGC